UAGGGAAUCUUCCGCAAUGGACGCAAGUCUGACGGAGCAACGCCGCGUGAGUGAAGAAGGAUUUCGGUUCGUAAAACUCUGUUGUUAGAGAAGAACAGCGCAUAGAGUAACUGUUAUGCGUGUGACGGUAUCUAACCAGAAAGCCACGGCUAACUACGUGCCAGCAGCCGCGGUAAUACGUAGGUGGCAAGCGUUGUCCGGAUUUAUUGGGCGUAAAGCGAGCGCAGGCGGUCAAUUAAGUCUGAUGUGAAAGCCCCCGGCUCAACCGGGGAGGGUCAUUGGAAACUGGUUGACUUGAGUGCAGAAGAGGAGAGUAGAAUUCCAUGUGUAGCGGUGAAAUGCGUAGAUAUAUGGAGGAACACCAGUGGCGAAGGCGACUAUCUGGUCUGUAACUGACGCUGAGGUUCGAAAGCGUGGGUAGCAAACAGG
This 429-nucleotide ribosomal RNA is filed under the name Bacteroidota bacterium. RNAcentral describes it as "Bacteroidetes bacterium partial 16S ribosomal RNA". It matches the Rfam family "Bacterial small subunit ribosomal RNA", at positions 355 to 776 of the family's 1533-position model. The record is from RNAcentral. Lineage: Bacteria; Pseudomonadati; Bacteroidota.